Molecule: ribosomal RNA, 408 nt
Filed under: uncultured bacterium
Lineage: Bacteria
Description: partial 16S ribosomal RNA
Rfam family: Bacterial small subunit ribosomal RNA
Source: RNAcentral
GACGAACGCUGGCGGCGUGCUUAACACAUGCAAGUCGACAUGAGUGGCGAACGGGUGAGUAGUACGUGGGUACCCUGCCCUACUUUUUGGGAUAAGCCUUGGAAACGGUGUCUAAUACCGUACCAAGGGGGUUGGGCUCGCGGCCUGUCCGCGUGUUGGUGGGGUGGUUGUCUACCAAGGCGGUGACGGGUAGCCGGCCUGAGAGGGGGAACGGCGACAUGGGGACUGAGAUAAGGCCCAGAGUCCGACGGGGGGGAGAAGUGGGGGAUAUUGCACAAAGGGCGAAAGCGCGAUGCAGCGUCGCCGCGGGGGGGAUGAAGGCUGUAGGGUUGUAAAGCUCGUUCGCUACCGAACGGGUAGGUGGAGAAGAAGCGCCGGCUAACUACGUGCCAGCAGCCGCGGUAAUUC